UGUAAGUUAAAUGUGCUUUAUUUCAGAGC
RNAcentral lists this non-coding RNA (29 nucleotides) under Mus musculus (house mouse). Lineage: Eukaryota; Metazoa; Chordata; Mammalia; Rodentia; Muridae. The record is from RNAcentral.